AUGCAUGCAUCGAUCGUACUAGGAGUAUCACCGGCUACAGCCCGGCCGGUCGCAUCGAUCGAUUUCCUGUCGGCGUCGCGCACACACAGUGUCGACGCAAUCAUACGGAGUUAUUACAAGAUGAAACGCAAGCAAAACUUUCUCAACUGCAAGGGUACAACCAGGUCGCAGGAAGAAGAAGAUAAUUUGGGACAUGGGAACAACAAGGACCACGAGCUCCGGCCUCUUCAUGUCUCCAAGCCCUUUUUCUCCCCGACGGAAGCUUCAGAAGCAAGCCAGGGUCGGGUUGUUCCUUUCUCCAGCUUGGAGGAAAGGAUGUCACGUAAUCAAGUUUGGUAUCCCUUUUACUGCUAUCAUUGUGCAGCAUCCACCGAAUCUAGCUAUAUGGAUAUGAUAAACAACAGGCACGCCGCAAUAAACAUACUUCUCAAGCACUUUAUCAUGUUCCAAUCAACCACAUUUCACCAUAUCCACCACCGAUCGACGCUCUUACCUGCAACAGCAGAGUUCUUACUCCCUCCUUCCGAAAAACUUAUCAUCAAAAUGGAUAAAAAUAGAUAUAUCUAG
Molecule: ribosomal RNA, 567 nt
Filed under: Triticum aestivum (bread wheat)
Lineage: Eukaryota; Viridiplantae; Streptophyta; Magnoliopsida; Poales; Poaceae
Description: partial small subunit ribosomal RNA
Source: RNAcentral